AAAAAAAAUUAAUUGCAGAGGUAAAAAGGGCAAUGCAAGCAGGAAAAAUUGACAUAGCAAGAAUACACGCGGAAAAAUGCAUAAGAAAAAAAAAUGAAAAAAUGAACUAUCUUAAUUUAAGUAACAAAAUGGAUGUCCUUGUGUCAAGAUUAGAAGCAGCAUACAGAAGUGCAUCGUUAAUUAAUGAUGUUGGUCAAAUGGUACCUAUAAUUAAACAAAUAAAUGAAGAAACAAAUGUGGUCAAAGUGGGGAAUAAUGUUAUGCAGUUAGAAAACAUUUUUGAUGAAAUUACAAUUAGUUCCGAUUUAGUAAACGAUACUGUACAGACUAGUUCUACUAUUAUCGCACCAACAGAAGAGGUUGAUGAAUUAAUAACUAAAAUAGCAGAAGAACAUGCUAUAAAAUUAGAUGGGCAGUUGGGUCCUGUUAGUGCAAUUAAUCAGCAAUUGGAAGAGCUUAAUAAUAUGAGUGAAAGGAUUAAAAAUUUAAAAUAAUAAUUAUAAUAAUAAUGAAGAUAUAAUAUUACAGACUAGUUGUUUUUACUUUUACGUAUUUAUUCUUACCUACAGUUAAGAACAUUUAUGUUUUAUCGGAUGAUUUAUUAUUAUUAUUAUUAUUAUUUUAUUUUUGUUUAUUUUUGUUUAUUUACCCAUUUUCUUAUUACCCUUAAAAUGGAAUUUUUAUAGUACACUCCAAUGGAUGUCAUAUUUUUCGUUUGUUUUUGUAAAAAAAUAAAUAUAUCGGAGUUUGUUGAUAUAUAUAAUGC
Molecule: long non-coding RNA, 766 nt
Filed under: Piliocolobus tephrosceles (Ugandan red Colobus)
Lineage: Eukaryota; Metazoa; Chordata; Mammalia; Primates; Cercopithecidae
Description: lncRNA (ENSPTEG00000004848.1)
Source: RNAcentral